RNAcentral lists this ribosomal RNA (269 nucleotides) under uncultured bacterium. Its description in RNAcentral is "partial 16S ribosomal RNA". It matches the Rfam family "Bacterial small subunit ribosomal RNA", at positions 333 to 593 of the family's 1533-position model. The record is from RNAcentral.
UGCUCCCUACGGGGGGCAGCAGUAGGGAAUCUUCGGCAAUGGGGGCAACCCUGACCGAGCAACGCCGCGUGAGUGAAGAAGGUUUUCGGAUCGUAAAGCUCUGUUGUAAGAGAAGAACGUGUGUGAGAGUGGAAAGUUCACACAGUGACGGUAACUUACCAGAAAGGGACGGCUAACUACGUGCCAGCAGCCGCGGUAAUACGUAGGUCCCGAGCGUUAUCCGGAUUUAUUGGGCGUAAAGGGAACGCAGGCGGUCUUUUAAGUCUGAU